Molecule: transfer RNA, 85 nt
Filed under: Parascardovia denticolens IPLA 20019
Lineage: Bacteria; Bacillati; Actinomycetota; Actinomycetes; Bifidobacteriales; Bifidobacteriaceae
Description: tRNA-Ser
Source: RNAcentral
GGAUGGUAGGAUGAGCGGCUAAAUCGCCUCCCCGCUAAGGAGGUUGGGCGCAAUGCCCUGGCGGGUUCGACCCCCGCACCAUCCG